RNAcentral lists this ribosomal RNA (1174 nucleotides) under uncultured bacterium. RNAcentral describes it as "bacterial SSU rRNA". It matches the Rfam family "Bacterial small subunit ribosomal RNA", at positions 166 to 1398 of the family's 1533-position model. The record is from RNAcentral.
CGACGAUGUGUGUUCCAUUUGGAUUCAAGAACCCGUAGUUCUAAAGGACAUGCCUCGAGGACUGGUUCACAGCUAGUUGUGGAGUAUGCCACCAGCGAGCACGGUAGGAACUGAGAGGGUGGCCCCACAUGGACUGACACGUCAUACACUACGGGUGGCCAGCAGUAGGGAUAUGCUCAAUUGGCGAAAGCUGAGCAGCAACGCCGCGUGUUGUGAUGAAGCUUCGGGUCGUAAAGCACUUUUCUAGAGAUGAGAAAGGACAGUAUCUCAGGAAUAAGUCUCGGCUAACUACGUGCCAGCAGCCGCGGUAAAACGUAGGAGGCAAGCGUUAUCCGGAUUCACUGGGCGUAAAGCGCGUGCAGGUGGCGCGGUAAGUUGGGCGUGAAAUCUCCCGGCUCAACUGGGAGAGGUCGUCCAAUACUACCGUGCUUGAGAGCAGAAGAGGAAGAUGGAAUUCCCGGUGUAGUGGUGAAAUGCGUAGAUAUCGGGAGGAACACCAGUGGCGAAGGCGAUCUUCUGGUCUGUUUCUGACACUCAGACGCGACAGCUAGGGUAGUAAACGGGAUUAGAGACCCCGGUAAUCCUAGCCGUAAACGAUGUGAACUUGGCGUUGGUGGGUUAAACUCCAUCAGUGCCGUAGCAAACGCGAUAAGUUCACCGCCUGGGGACUACGGCCGCAAGGUUAAAACUCAAAGGAAUUGACGGGGGCCCGCACAAGCAGCGGAGCGUGUGGUUUAAUUCGAUGCUACACGAAGAACCUUACCCAGGCUUGACAUACAGGUGGUAGGGAUCCGAAAGGUGACCGACCCGCAAGGGAGCCUGUACAGGUGUUGCAUGGCUGUCGUCAGCUCGUGUCGUGAGAUGUUCGGUUAAGUCCGCUAACGAGCGCAACCCUCGCUGCGUGUUACAAGUGUCACGCAGGACCGCCGGUAUUAAGCCGGAGGAAGGUGGGGAUGACGUCAAGUCAGCAUGGCCUUUAUGCCUGGGGCUACACACACGCUACAAUGGGCAGUACAAUGGGUUGCUAAGCCGCGAGGUGGAGCCAAUCCCCUAAAGCUGUCCUCAGUACAGAUUGCAGGCUGCAACUCGCCUGCAUGAAGCCGGAGUUGCUAGUAAACGCGCGUCAGCUAUAGUGCGUUGAAUACGUUCUCGGGCCUUGUACACACCGCCCGUC